Molecule: microRNA precursor, 87 nt
Filed under: Solanum tuberosum (potato)
Lineage: Eukaryota; Viridiplantae; Streptophyta; Magnoliopsida; Solanales; Solanaceae
Description: MIR8024 microRNA precursor family
Rfam family: MIR8024 microRNA precursor family
Source: Rfam by way of RNAcentral
CUUGAAUAAUUUGAAGACUUCAACUUGCAAACUUAAAGAAUUUAAAGACUUCAACUUGCAUACUUGGAGAUUUUGAAGACUUAAGGC